UUGUUAGCAUUGCAGCACAUAUACUAAAAUUGGAAGGAUACAGAGAAGGUUAGCAUGGCCCCUGUGCGAGGGUGACAUGCAAAUUCCUGAAGCCUUCCAUCCAAAA
This is a small nuclear RNA of Strigops habroptila (Kakapo), 106 nucleotides long. The record is from Ensembl. Lineage: Eukaryota; Metazoa; Chordata; Aves; Psittaciformes; Psittacidae.